CUAGGGGCUAAAAGAGCUAUUGAUAGGAUUCAUUCACAGAAAGAAGCAGGAAUAGACGCAAGGGCUGGAGCUGGGAGGGGGGGGGGAGGGGGAAUCCCUCCAGCGGCCCAGCCCCGCCUCCCGAGAUGUGGCAGGACUCCUCCCUGCCCUACACUUUCUACCACCUGCCUUCCGCCUUGCAGGGAGGCUACCACCGGCUCCGGGAAGCCCCUCCCGCAGACCUGCCGCUCCCCUGCCUCAGAAGGAGCUGCUCGACCGACAGAUACCAAGGUCGUCUUUGCGCCGGCGUGCGACCCAUUUAAUACGUUCUUUCUUCGAUGGAAGGCUGCUACGAGAUCCAUCGCGGGAAGCCCAUACCCCCACGUGGCGUAUCUCCUGAACCGCGCUUCUUUUUACCUUCUGCCCCGGGUGGCGUCUGAACCUGACGGUCCGUGGGCUAUUAUUCCGUAUAGGAUGCCGGGACGGCUGGGUAGCCAUCCAGAAAAAGUAACGUCAGACUUAUACUCCCAAUUCCUGCACUAGGACGGAUACGAAGAAGUGUGAUCUGUGCUCGAGGUGGAAAUGCAAAAUGAUGAACAAUUGAAAGGACAACGGGCAAAGAAUAGAGACACUCAGUAACUUGACCAAACUCACAAGAAGCCGGUGCGUGAACCGGAAUGAGAAACCAUUAAUCUGCAAUGGGAAAUACUCCUUUGCGAUGACAGAACACGCAUGUCUGCCAUCCCAGGCACCUCGCUGCACAGAUCAAGAUGCCCGUGACGUUCCGUGAGGGAGCCCGGUGGGGCGCCUGGCUGGCUCCGUCAGAAGAGCAUGGGACUCUCGAUGAUCUCAGGGUCGUGAGUUCAGACCCCAUGUUGGGCAUGGAGCCUACUUUAAAUAAAUAAAUAAAUAAAUAAAUAAAUAAAUAAAUA
Molecule: long non-coding RNA, 911 nt
Filed under: Felis catus (domestic cat)
Lineage: Eukaryota; Metazoa; Chordata; Mammalia; Carnivora; Felidae
Description: lncRNA (ENSFCAG00000046145.2)
Source: RNAcentral